CCUACGUGUGGCAGCAGUGGGGAAUAUUGCACAAUGGGGGAAACCCUGAUGCAGCGACGCCGCGUGAGUGAAGAAGUAUUUCGGUAUGUACAGCUCUAUCAGCAGGGAAGAAGAAAGACGGUAUCUGACCAAGAAGCACCGCCUAACUACGUGCCAGCAGCAGCGGCAAUAAGUAGGGGGCAAGCGUUAUCCGUAUUUACGGGGGGUAAAGGGAGCGUAGACGGCUGUGCAAGUCUGAAGUGAAAGCCCAGGGCUCAACCCUGGGACUGCUUUGGAGAUUGUGGAGCUAGAGUGCUGGAGAGGUAAGUGGAAUUCCUAGUGUAGCGGUGAAAUGCGUAGAUAUUAGGAGGAACACCAGUGGCGAAGGCGGCUUACUGGACAGUAACUGACGUUGAGGCUCGAAAGCGUGGGGAGUAAACAGGAUUAGAUACCCCAGUAGUC
Molecule: ribosomal RNA, 441 nt
Filed under: uncultured bacterium
Lineage: Bacteria
Description: partial 16S ribosomal RNA
Rfam family: Bacterial small subunit ribosomal RNA
Source: RNAcentral